UAUAUAUGUCACUGCAACAUCAGUUGCGAACCGUGUCAGAAUAGAAAUAUAGCAGCACUAAGCAUUAUACUUUUGUGUGUGGUGGCACAAUUUAUU
This 96-nucleotide signal recognition particle RNA is filed under the name Mycoplasmataceae bacterium. Its description in RNAcentral is "signal recognition particle sRNA small type". It matches the Rfam family "Bacterial small signal recognition particle RNA". From Rfam's summary of the family: The signal recognition particle (SRP) is a universally conserved ribonucleoprotein involved in the co-translational targeting of proteins to membranes. Archaeal SRP consists of a 7S RNA and homologues of the eukaryotic SRP19 and SRP54 proteins. In most bacteria, the SRP consists of a 4.5S RNA and the Ffh protein (a homologue of the eukaryotic SRP54 protein). The record is from RNAcentral. Lineage: Bacteria; Bacillati; Mycoplasmatota; Mollicutes; Mycoplasmatales; Mycoplasmataceae.